This 381-nucleotide unclassified non-coding RNA is filed under the name uncultured Orbiliales. RNAcentral describes it as "sequence contains ITS1". The stretch from base 1 to 105 matches the Rfam family "5.8S ribosomal RNA", at positions 50 to 154 of the family's 154-position model. The record is from RNAcentral. Lineage: Eukaryota; Fungi; Ascomycota; Orbiliomycetes; Orbiliales.
GAAACGCGAUAGUUAAUGUGAAUUGCAGAAUUCAGUGAAUCAUCGAGUCUUUGAACGCACAUUGCGCCUUCCGGUAUUCCGGGAGGCACGUCUGUUUGAGCGUCAGCUAAACCCUUCCGGCCCCCAGCUUUUGUCUGAGGGUACGGGCAUGCUGGCGUCAGGGGACUGAGGCCGCCGCGCUCCGGCGUGGGCCGGGUCCUCCCCCGCUUAAACCUGUGGAAGCUAGCGGGCAUGGUCCCGGAUUGCGAACAACUCGUAUAACCUACCGUUGCCAGCAACCCAAACCUGCCCCGCCUUCAUCUUUUUGAGAAAGGGAAUUUUUUCCCCGGACCAAUUUUUAAUCUUGACCUCAAAUCAGACGAGGAUACCCGCUGAACUUAA